AGUGAACGCUGGCGGUAGGCCUAACACAUGCAAGUCGAACGGCAGCACAGUAAGAGCUUGCUCUUACGGGUGGCGAGUGGCGGACGGGUGAGGAAUACAUCGGAAUCUACUUUUUCGUGGGGGAUAACGUAGGGAAACUUACGCUAAUACCGCAUACGACCUACGGGUGAAAGCAGGGGAUCUUCGGACCUUGCGCGAUUGAAUGAGCCGAUGUCGGAUUAGCUAGUUGGCGGGGUAAAGGCCCACCAAGGCGACGAUCCGUAGCUGGUCUGAGAGGAUGAUCAGCCACACUGGAACUGAGACACGGUCCAGACUCCUACGGGAGGCAGCAGUGGGGAAUAUUGGACAAUGGGCGCAAGCCUGAUCCAGCCAUACCGCGUGGGUGAAGAAGGCCUUCGGGUUGUAAAGCCCUCUUGUUGGGAAAGAAAAGCAGCAGGUUAAUACCCCGCUGCUCUGACGGUACCCAAAGAAUAAGCACCGGCUAACUUCGUG
RNAcentral lists this ribosomal RNA (492 nucleotides) under uncultured bacterium. RNAcentral describes it as "partial 16S ribosomal RNA". It matches the Rfam family "Bacterial small subunit ribosomal RNA", at positions 29 to 507 of the family's 1533-position model. The record is from RNAcentral.